UGGGCCCGGUAUAUGGGCCUUUCGUCCGAAUUAUUUGGCCCAGUUUGAAUUUAUUUGCCCGGCCCAGCUUCUAGGGCCUUCAUGUUACGCUUCUGCUCAUAUAAAAGCACGAACGCAAAUGUCCCAACCCUAGAAUCGCUGUUUUUCCUCUCGCUCCUCCUGUGGGCGGCGCCGCCGCUGCGCACAGAACACAUCCUCGCCAUCGUAGCUUCUCCGGCGUCCGGCCAACGCGCUCACUAGCCUCCCGCCUUCCUCCACAUCUCCUCGCCUCCACCCCAUCCAGUUCGUGCCAUUCGCUGCUCCAAGACAAGGGCAUGGCGCUCGGCGGCUGCGGCAACGAAGCUGAUGGUGCACGAGCCAACCAUGAAGGCAGUAGCACGGGGCAGCGACAGCAGCAUGGAGGGCGUCCUCUUGUUUGGGAAGGUAAUGGAACUGCAAAUAGGAGUGGCAGCGGCGACCAGGAUGCAAAUGGAAGUGGUUCCCAAAGACCUUGGAAAGGACUUAAAGACAAUAACUUAUAUGAUCCUUGGAACCAUGCAUGGCCGUAUUAUGGGGGUUUUGAUUGCACGUACUGCAGCCUAAAGCACAAAGGUGGAGGUGCAACCCGUGUCGCGGAGCAUCUUGGUGGUAUUGUAGGUAAUGUGAGGAGCUGCCCCAAUGUGCCAAGAAAUGUGAGAGAUGCAAUGAGAGAGUGCCGGGAUGAAUCAAGGAGGAAGCAAAGAGACAAACAAAAUAGCAGGCUGAGAAUUGAAAGAAAUAUUAUGGAAGGGUUGUAUAAAAAAGGAGGGGUGGUUAACGUACCAGAUGAUGAUGAAGAAGAAAUUCAGAUGAAUAUUAGAGAAGCAUUGCGUGACCCGAAUGUCUCUCGCAGAAUUGAAAGGAGAAUUGGCAAGGGGGGUGUGGGUGAUGUGCAUGUUUCUGUUGGUAAAAGGAGUAUCAGCGCCUAUUUUGACAGGCAAUUAUCUAGCAACAAAGUAUCUAUGCAGCCCAAGAUCAGUAGUGCUUUGGAUCCUAAUUCAAGAGAUGCACUUGGUCUAGCAAAGAAGUCGUCUUCUAUAUGACAAGCUCCACAAGCUAGUUUCUCUACGCUACAACUUAAAGAUACGUGCUGAAGAAGAUCAAGAGAAAGAGAGAGAUAUAGAUAAAGAAAUUGAUCCAAGUGUAUUGCUAAUGGAUACCACAAUGUUUGAUGAAACAAACCCAAUAAUGGAGUGGCUGAAUGAGGAUGUAGAGGAUCCGAUUGUGGAUGGAGCUGAUGCAGCUAGUGCUGUUUUUGAGCAAAUAAGGCGCCUCAACUCAAGCAGGAAGGCGUCUUAUGUUGGUUCAAAGGGUAAUAACAAGAAAAGAAAGAGGAAUGAUGAUGAUGAGAAUGAGUUUCUUGAAACUGAGAGUGAGGAUGAUGAAGAAGAGAAUGAAUAUGUUGAUAAUGACAUCGAGGAUGAUGAUGGGGUGAGUGAGGAUGAUGAGGAUGGUGAACAAGAUCAGCUAGAGACACAAAUGCAACUUGAAGAAGAGACACAAGUACAAGUUCAAAAGGAGGCACCAACAAGCACUGGCCAUUUGGAGACUAGCUCUGGACGACUUAUUAGGAAGAAGACCAAGAACGUCAACAGCCUCUACUCGUAAAUUUGAAAUGGCACGUGAGCAAAGGAUAUCAAGAAGCUUUUGGAUGUUGGGAAGCUUGGAGCUGAUGCUUCAAAUAAGCUGAUGGUUGUCUUUUGGAGAUGUUUCUAUGUUUAAUGCUUUAAAGUCUUUUGGCUGUACUGGACUAUUUAAACUUUGAACUAUGCUGUGAUGCUUGAACUGAUGCUGGACGGUUAAGGGUUUAUGUCAGAGGCAACUUUAUAACUAAUGUGUGCCUGUUAUGUUGGACUGUUAAGGGUUAUGUUGGAGGCAAUUUUAUAACUAAUGUGUGUCUGCUAUGUUGGAUUGUUAACUGUUAUGUUGGAGGCAACAUUAUAGCUAACGUGUGCCUGUUAUGUUGGGCAGAUUCAAUUUUCUUAAUCCCUAGAGCUUAUUUGCUAAAGUUUAUAAGAUCUCUCCUGAUGGUUGU
This 2053-nucleotide ribosomal RNA is filed under the name Triticum aestivum (bread wheat). RNAcentral describes it as "partial small subunit ribosomal RNA". Lineage: Eukaryota; Viridiplantae; Streptophyta; Magnoliopsida; Poales; Poaceae. The record is from RNAcentral.